CAAGUGGGAGUUUGUGGCUGGUUGAUCGUUUUGUUUUACUCCAAGAUGAAGUAAAAAUUAUAACCAAAUAUAAGCACUAGCAUAUUUUCUUACUUUUGCACAUCAAUCAUAUAAAUGCAUGUAAGAAGUAAGCAAGAAAGAAAGCAGAGAAUCAAAGAAACAGGUACUUUUGCACAUCGAUCAUAUAAAUGCAUGUAAGAAGUAAGCAAGAAAGAAAGCAGAGAAUCAAAGAAACAGGUACUUUUGCACAUCAAUCAUAUAAAUGCAUGUAAGAAGUAAGCAAGAAAUAAAGCAGAGAAUCAAAGAAACAGGUACUUUUGCACAUCAAUCAUAUAAAUGCAUGUAAGAAGUAAGCAAGAAAGAAAGCAGAGAAUCAAAGAAACAGGGAAGUAACUCUGAAUGGCUACAAGUAACC
This 415-nucleotide long non-coding RNA is filed under the name Capsella rubella. RNAcentral's name for it is "long non-coding RNA (CRUB_LNC001009)". Lineage: Eukaryota; Viridiplantae; Streptophyta; Magnoliopsida; Brassicales; Brassicaceae. The record is from RNAcentral.